Molecule: small nuclear RNA, 102 nt
Organism: Myotis lucifugus (little brown bat)
Lineage: Eukaryota; Metazoa; Chordata; Mammalia; Chiroptera; Vespertilionidae
Source: Ensembl
GAAAUAUUGGCAGCACAUUUACUGAAAUUGGAACGAUGGAUAAAGAUUAGCAUGGCCCAGCAGAAGGAUGGCACGCAGAUUCAUGAAGCAAAGUAUAUAUUG